AAUGUGAACCAGCUACAGGCAUGCCUAAACCCCCCUGCCCUUGGACCUCUAUCCCCCGGCCCCACAUCCCCCUCUAGGUCCUCACAGAGCAGCCAGUGGAGCUCCCUGCGUUAUAUCGCAGGUUACCACUAUCUGGCUUACACAUACUAGUGUGGAUAUGUCAAUGCUAGUCUCUUGAUUCAACCUCCCUUGUCUCCCCUCCUCUGGGGGACGAGGGUGGGUUAGGGAGUGACACUGAAAUUUCCAGCCCUCUAAUCACACGGUUGGCUUCACUGGCAACCAGCCCCCAGCCUUAGGUGCCUCUAAAGUCAAAUCUUUACAAAAGACUCCUUUUCACUCACAUCACUUCUGAAACUCCAAUGGUUUUAGGAGCUCUGUGUCAGAAACAGUGGUGGACAACCAAAUAUACGUAUUUCUUAUUAAAAAGCACAGUAUCACUGAUACUCAGAAACUAAAGGAAAAAUCUCUUUCUAAAAUUAAAAAUAGCAAAUGUUUGGAAAGUUGAAGUCAUGGGGCAUGUGGAAAGUAGAUUCUGUCAAAGUUCCUUUGUAAAUGGGGCUAAGUGAACUGUGCGUCAUGGUGGACCAGGUUUUCUGAGUUAAGCAGGGGGCUGGAGCAGUACCUCCACAAGGGAACUGGGACUGAAAUAACUCAGCUGACCACUCAGCAAUGGCCAGACAGGUUCCACUUUCCCAGAGGGGCACAGACUGGAACUGGAGUCCGUCUAAGGAAACAACAUCCUUGAGGAAUGGAAGAGCCGAUGAAGUCCAAGAAAUAGUGGACGGUUGGUUGCCUAACGCGGAGGCAAGGACCCAGGGCUGGUCCCAGGGCUGCUCAUGGAGGGGAAGGUGCAUCUCCACUGCAUCGCGGCAAGUCUUCCAGACCUGUCUGCAGCUCUUCCUGUAACCAAGAGGCCUUUUCCUGUGUUUAAACUCACCACCAAUGGCUAUCCUACCAAAGGAUCUCAAGGUGCUUGGAGAGAGCCUGUCAGUAGAAGAAUAGACCUAUACGACCACUCUGGAGGA
RNAcentral lists this long non-coding RNA (1025 nucleotides) under Capra hircus (goat). Its description in RNAcentral is "lncRNA (ENSCHIG00010011358.1)". The record is from RNAcentral. Lineage: Eukaryota; Metazoa; Chordata; Mammalia; Artiodactyla; Bovidae.